RNAcentral lists this ribosomal RNA (109 nucleotides) under uncultured bacterium. RNAcentral describes it as "partial 16S ribosomal RNA". It matches the Rfam family "Bacterial small subunit ribosomal RNA", at positions 1373 to 1482 of the family's 1533-position model. The record is from RNAcentral.
CCCGGGCCUUGUACACACCGCCCGUCAAGCCAUGGAAACUAGGGGUACCCGAAAGCGCUGCGCCAACCGCAAGGAGGCAGGCGUCUAAAGUAAAACUAGCGACUGGGCU